UACGUAGGGGGCAAGCGUUGUCCGGAUUUAUUGGGCGUAAAGAGCGUGUAGGCGGCUUGGCAAGUCCGCUGUGAAAACUCGAGGCUCAACCUCGAGAUGUCGGUGGAAACUGCUUGGCUAGAGUCCGGUAGGGGACCACGGAAUACCUGGUGUAGCGGUGAAAUGCGCAGAUAUCAGGUGGAACACCGAUGGCGAAGGCAGUGGUCUGGGCCGGCACUGACGCUGAAUAGCGAAAGCGUGGGUAGCGAACAGG
This 253-nucleotide ribosomal RNA is filed under the name uncultured bacterium. RNAcentral describes it as "partial 16S ribosomal RNA". It matches the Rfam family "Bacterial small subunit ribosomal RNA", at positions 524 to 776 of the family's 1533-position model. The record is from RNAcentral.